Molecule: long non-coding RNA, 200 nt
Filed under: Prunus persica (peach)
Lineage: Eukaryota; Viridiplantae; Streptophyta; Magnoliopsida; Rosales; Rosaceae
Description: long non-coding RNA (PPER_LNC007290)
Source: RNAcentral
AAAAAAGAAAAAAAAGACAUUUAAGAUCUAUGAAUAUUGUAGCUCGUUCAAUAAAAUAAGCUCUAGGUUCAUCAAUAUUCUCGUUAGCGUUUUUAUCACGAAUGGUUCAUAUGAACUUUUCAAAAGUCUUUGUUUGAGUUCUCAAACUUUUAAAUCAAUCAAUGUAGUUUAUAAACUUUUGGUCUACACAUCACUUUGAC